RNAcentral lists this ribosomal RNA (492 nucleotides) under uncultured bacterium. Its description in RNAcentral is "partial 16S ribosomal RNA". It matches the Rfam family "Bacterial small subunit ribosomal RNA", at positions 29 to 507 of the family's 1533-position model. The record is from RNAcentral.
AGUGAACGCUGGCGGCAGGCCUAACACAUGCAAGUCGAACGGAAGCACAGUAAGAGCUUGUGGUUACGGGUGCCGAGGGGCGGGCGGGUGCGAAGUACAUGGGUAUUUACUGUUUAGAAGGGGCUAACGCGGGGAAAAAUACGGUAUUAGUGCAUACGAAGUAAGGGUGAGAGCAGCGGAUCUUCGGACAUCAGGCGAGUGAAUGAGCCUAUGUCGGAUUAGCUAGUUGGUGGGGUAAAGGCCCACCAAGGCGACGAUCCGUAGCUGGUCUGAGAGGAUGAUCAGCCACACUGGAACUGAGACACGGUCCAGACUCCUACGGGAGGCAGCAGUGGGGAAUAUUGGACAAAGGGCGAAAGCCUGAUCCAGCCAUGCCGCGUGUGUGAAGAAGGCCUUCGGAUUGUAAAGCCCUUUUGUUUGGAAAGAAAAGCAGCAAGUUAAUACCUUGCUGUUCUGACGUUACCCAAAGAAUAAGCACCGGCUAACUUCGUG